AACAAAAAGGGUGAAACUGUCACAGCUCUGUCUUCAUUCAUUGAUCAGUGUUUCUGGACUCUUUGCCACAUGUCAGGCACUAACUGAAGCUCUAAAGACAGAAAGGUAAAUAGGAAAUGUUCCCUGCCCUCUAGGAACACACUGUCCUGUGGACACAGAGAAGUAAACAGAAACAUCCCACAGAUUGUGGCAAGUGUCCUCCCAAGGGAAUGUCACCCGAAGAAGAGCAGAAAAGCUUCCAGGAAGAUGCAGCUCUUGAAGGCUAAACUUGGUCAGACGGUGGAGGAUGGGGGUGGGAAUUUUAAAUAAAGAACAGUAUUUGCAAAAGGCAAAAAGAUGAAAGAUGCCCCGUUUCUAGAAGUUGCAGUUCGCUUGACUAUAGCAGUAGCUAAUAAGUGAAGGUAGGAGAGAGACAAGGGCAGUGGGGUAGGCAGAGCACAUUUCCAAAGAGCCUUGAAGUCAAGUUGCAGACUCAAAGGGCCUCUUGACGGACCUACGCAGAAGCACAGAGACCAACUGGCAGGAAUCACCGAAGACCACAUCCAUCCUUGUUCCGAAGAAUGGUCUUGAGCUCCCCCUCCUCGAUGCAACUGGCCGGAAGACCAUCCUUGUCUUAGGAAAGGUUACAAAGGUACCAUUGGAAAUUACCACGUAAAUAUCCCCAAAUCCUAACCUCAGAAAUGAUCCACCUAGCAUAUGAAAAACAAACCAGGAGAAAAGCUGUAAUGGAAAAUUAGGUCUAGAAGAUGGUUUUGCCUGUAAUGUAACUGUGAUUGGAGUCUAGAGGUGAGCAGAUGGGUCACACAAAAACAUCCCUCCCAUAUAUAAAUAAUGGGUGGACUCCAUUUGCCUCUGACAAGUAUUUUGUCAUGUUCAGAUGUUGUCUGAGGACUUGCCACUUUCCCAAGCCUUUCAAAGAACGUUCACUAAAGAAGAACAAAAAUACAGACACCCAAGCACUUUGUUUUUCCAUGAUUCACUUUACCCAGGACUGAACUGGGUUGGCCAUUAAUUUUAUACCAUGGUCAUGUUUAUACAGACAAAUUAAAGUGGACAUGGCACCAUUAGCUGGAUGGCUUGGUUCAUUGUUCGCCAAUGUAAAAAUUACAGCAUCUUCCAAUAGUUUCUCCGAACAAUAAUUAGGGCUCCCAUUUUAUUUUGGACAGAAUAAUUAAAGCAAUCUGUCACUGCUGCAUUUUGUUUUGCUGGCAAUGAGGUAGCAGAGCAGUGAAUACUGCCAGCUGAGGUUCUAGACGUGUCACUCAGGAAAAGUCUGUAGCAAAAACCUAUCAAAGGCUGGAGGAAUGAAAACAGCUUCAUUGAAGAAACUGAUAAAAUGAAAUCUAAACUUUCUAAUUACUCUGACUUGCACAUGUGGGUCAUGGAAGUAGGAAAAAAAUGACUGCAUCUUUCUAGAAGUCCCUGAGCUUGUCCCCUGGGCCCAGUAGGAGUUGGAGUCUGGUGGGAAAAAGACCAAAAAACAGGAGUGGUGGUAGAUUAGUAAUAAGGACUUCACAACCAAGAGACCCCUGUUUUUCUCCUGUUUCACAGAGGGUCCAUUUAAUAUGAGUAUGGUUGAGAUGGACAAAGAAAAGUGUGAAUAUUCCUAGUUAUUCUCUUCCUCUGUCUGCACAUCCCUCCUGUUUGGCUCUUGCACCCCAGGAGGAAGAAGCCUUGGGAAUGUGAAUAAAAGAGCUGUGGACAUCAUAUAUCCCACAUCUCCUUGGGAGGCAGAAGGAAUAAGGGGAUAAAUUAAGAGGACCGUCCCAAUUUUUGGAGAGGGUUAAGUUUGUGGGGAGAAAGAGAAGAACAUUGAGAACAGCUAAGUGACAUAACGAAAGAGGAUUCUAGGACAUGUUGCUGCUGUUAUGAAUGUAAACUUCCUCAGCCUUUUUUUUUUUUUUUUUUUUUUUUUUUUUGGUCUUUUUAGGGCU
Molecule: non-coding RNA, 1934 nt
Organism: Sus scrofa (pig)
Lineage: Eukaryota; Metazoa; Chordata; Mammalia; Artiodactyla; Suidae
Source: RefSeq, a predicted model, not a curated record